Molecule: ribosomal RNA, 466 nt
Filed under: uncultured organism
Description: bacterial SSU rRNA
Rfam family: Bacterial small subunit ribosomal RNA
Source: RNAcentral
GACGAACGCUGGCGGCGUGCCUAACACAUGCAAGUCGAACGAGGUCCAUGGGAGCUUGCUUCCGGAAGACCUAGUGGCGAACGGGUGAGUAACACGUGAGGAACUUGCCCCAGACUCGGGGAUAACUCAGGGAAACUUGAGCUAAUACCGGAUACCCUCUUUGGAUCGCAUGGUCCGCUGAGGAAAGUUUUUCGGUCUGGGAGAGCCUCGCGGCCUAUCAGCUAGUUGGUGAGGUAACGGCUCACCAAGGCGACGACGGGUAGCUGGUUUGAGAGAACGAUCAGCCACACUGGGACUGAGACACGGCCCAGACUCCUACGGGAGGCAGCAGUGGGGAAUCUUGCGCAAUGGGCGAAAGCCUGACGCAGCAACGCCGCGUGCGGGAUGAAGGCCUUCGGGUUGUAAACCGCUUUCAGCAGGGACGAAGAUGACGGUACCUGCAGAAGAAGCCCCGGCUAACUACGUG